CACUGCAAUUUACUGAAUUUAGGAAAUUUACUAUCGAGUAUUUUUAGAAGUGGAUUGAGAAAUUAAAAUGGAGCUGGGUUUUUGACUCAUUUUGUGAUAAAUUUUGCCGACGAGGAUUUGCAACCAUUAUUCGGUUUUUGUCGGCGGCAGCUUCAUAAGCUUCGGACUCGGUUCCGGGUCACUCACCUGAAGAGCUCUUAAAGAACCUAUUUUGGAGGGUUGAACAAUUUAAACAUUCAUGGUCUUGUGUGGCAGAAUCCUCUUUAAAAUCAGCACCUUCCUUCUUUUGCCUCUUCAAACUCGUUCCGUUUCGCCAGUUUUCUUCAGAAGCUACUCCCCUCGUUUUUCUACUGCCGUCGGAACUCACUCGUUAUCAGGACAUGUAUCGUACAAUCAACCCGUAGAAAGCACGCAUUCCGGAAAGAUCCACGAUGCUGAUGUCAUCAUUGCCAAAGCCCUCGAAGCAAACUGCGAAACCGAAGUCUUUGAUUCUCUUGUUUACGAGUUUGGAUGCGAAAGGAUACCGAUAUCUCACACGUUGGUCGCGAGGCUGCUUCGUCGUUUUCAAGAUGAUUGGAAAUCUGCAUUGGGUGUUUUCAGAUGGGUCGAAACGUACACGGAGUACAAACCCUUGCCCGAGUUCUACGAUAAAUUGGUGGAUAUAUUGGGAAAGAUGAAAGAGAUGGACAAAAUGAACGCAUUAGUCGAGCAAAUGCGCGAACACCAUCUCGUCUCUCUCAACACCAUAGCCAAGAUGAUGAGAAGGUGUUGCGGUGCAGGGGGAUGGAAAGAUGCCGUGAGAAUAUUCGACGAGUUGGAAAGUUUUGGAUUGGAGAAGAACACCGAGUCGAUGAACUUGUUACUCGACAGUUUAUGCAAAGAGAGAAAAGUCGAGCAGGCCCGUUCAAUUUUCUUGGAGCUCAAAUCCCAUAUUCCACCUAAUGCAAACACGUACAACAUUUUUAUCCACGGGUGGUGCAAGAUAAAGAGGGUCGAGGAGGCGCAGUGGACAAUUCAAGAAAUGAAGGGACUCGGUCUUCGCCCGUGUGUCAUUAGCUACUCGACUAUUAUCCAAUUUUAUUGCUCUCAGAGCAACUUUAACAGAGUAUAUGAGCUGCUCGACGAAAUGCAAGCACAGGGGUGUAAUCCUAACGUAGUCACUCUCACAACUGUCAUGCAUUCUUUGACAAAGGCGGGAGAGUUAAAAGAAGCGUUACAAAUAGUCGAGAGAGUGAAAUCGGUUGGCUGUAAACCCGAUACGCAGUUUUACAAUGCAUUGAUACAUACGCUAGGCAGAGAUGGACAAGUCGAGGAGGCGGUACGUGUCUUUACAAAGGAGAUGCCGGAGAAUAAUAUUAAUCCGAAUACAUCGACUUACAAUUCGAUGAUCGCAAUGUUCUGCCAUCACAGACAAGAGCCGAAGGCAUUGCAGUAUCUGAGGAAUUUAGAAAUUUCGCCGUACUGUAAACCCGACGUGCAGUCGUUUUAUCCUCUGCUGAAGAUGUAUUUUCGAGAUGGGAAAACGGAUAAGUGCUUGAUUAGUUUGUUGGACGAUAUGGUUAAGAAGCACCAUCUUUGCUUCGACUUGGCGACUUUCACGCUUCUGAUACACGGGCUGUGCAGAGCGGGUAAGUGCGAGUGGGCGUACGAGCUGUUUACGGAAAUGGUCGGUCAGAACAUAAAGCCUAGGUAUCUGACGUGUUCGUUGCUUCUGCAAGAAAUCAGACAGAAGAAUAUGAUUGAUAAGGCUGAGAUGAUUGAAGACUUUAUAAAGAAAAUGAAAUCUUCUUGAAUGAUGAGAACUAACCAACUGCAGUAAACCCUCGUUCAGAAAAUUGCCAAACGAAGAACGUUUACAAAAUACUGUACGGUUGUUUGUCAUGCCAUGCUUAUAUAUCUGGGUUGGCAAAAUGCUUUUUGAUUGAGAGAUAACCUCAGGUAUUCAUUCAACCUCACGUGAUCGUUGGUGAAGUUAUCCAGUCUCGUAAACGAAAGGAAGAAAACGAAAACAAACAGAAGUUGGUAGAGCUUGAUUUGGAGUUUCUCAAGAACGAACAAUCAGAAAAUCCGAAAACCUUCAACUUCACGUGGAGUGUUUGGCGAUUCUUAAAAGAUUUAUGAAUUAUGCAGCAGAAUUAUAUCCGGGAUUCUCGGGACAAUUAGUUAGCUUCCAAAUACUGCACACUAUUAAUCUUUGUUUCGUUUUCGAUUGUCGGUACUAAAAUAAUGAUAACUGUCACGUUUAUGUCAUGCAUCAAGUUAUAUAAUCUAUAUGUAUAUAUGUA
This is a non-coding RNA of Erythranthe guttata (spotted monkey flower), 2285 nucleotides long. NCBI's taxonomy places the organism in Eukaryota, Viridiplantae, Streptophyta, Magnoliopsida, Lamiales, Phrymaceae. The record is from RefSeq and is a predicted model, not a curated record.